Molecule: long non-coding RNA, 3935 nt
Filed under: Homo sapiens (human)
Lineage: Eukaryota; Metazoa; Chordata; Mammalia; Primates; Hominidae
Description: HSALNT0362639
Source: RNAcentral
CCAUGACCCUGCCAAAUCCCCCUCUGUGAGAAACACCCAAGAAUUAUCAAUAAAAAAAUAAAUUAAAAAAAAAAAUAAAUAAAUAAAUCCAGCAAAAAUAAAAAUAAAAAAUAAAAUCCCCUUGAAUACAUUUGAGGUAAUGUUGUAGUUUUCAGCUCCUCCCACGAGAGAUUUUAUGGAGUGCCUAACUGUGCUACCCGGGUGCUGCUCCUGUCGUUAGUGGUGGCACCCAGGAGGAAUUAAAAUUACAAGAGUGUUUCCUUCCAGAUGUUGUUGCUACAGGCUCAAGGUGCUCUUUUAACUGGGACAUCAGGCUUUCUUGAAAUAGACAAGAAUUCUAGAAACAUGACAUUGUGCCUGAUUCAUCGCUUCAACUUGCCACUGACUCAUUCUCUCCUUGAUAGGUUAUUCAACAGUAACUUUAAUUACAUCAUUUACUUAUUGUUUUCUUCCUUGAUUUAUUCUCUUUCUACAAUUCUUGUUUAUCAUCUCAGUGAUUGGACCAUCUCACCUCUGAGACUUGGGUAGAAUUCUGUGGACUCUGGAAAUAGACAUGGAGGUUUUCAUGUAUCUCUGUUAAUGUGUACAAACACCCCCAGGCUUGUACACUUGAAAUACAUCAGUAGGAAGGGUAGUUCUCAAUUUGCUAGUGUUUCACACAGCUUGUCUUAUUUAAUGAUCUCAGCUGCCCUAUGAAGUAGAUACCAUCCUAUUAAAAAAUGCAGGAGCAGAGGCUCUGAGAGGGGACUGUAACUUACCCAAGAUCAUGUGGUAGAUUGCAAAACUGGUUCCAAAUCCCUACCCUUCCCUGUACGCACACCUUUUGCCAUUCAUCUGCAAUGUCCUUUUCUGAUUCUGGGCUCAGCAAUAUAACUUGCUCUGGCCAACAGGAUAACAACAGCAAAUGUGAUGUAAGCAAAAGCUUGAGAAAUACUUGUGCAACUAAUCAUGUUUGCCUUCUCUCUUGUACCUGUGCCAUUGCCAUGAGAACAUGCCUGGGCUAGGAUUAGAGACACUUGGAGCAGAGCUGAGUCAUCCCAGCUGUCCCAGUUGAGGCCAGCCUAGGUCAGUCGAUGGCAACCAAGCCCUAAGCAUGUUAGUGAGCCCAGCCAUGAUCAGCACAACCACCUAGCCAACCAUCCCAGACCUGUGAUCAAUAAAGCCUUACUAUUCCAUACCACCUAGGUUUUGUGAUUAUUUAUUUCACAGAAUUAUUAUGGCAGUAUGUAACUGAUAGAAGCGGUGUACAGGGAAGAGUAUUUGUUAGUCCGUUUUCACACUGCUGAUAAAGACAUAUGCGAGACUGAGCAAUUUACAAAAGAAAGAGGUUUAAUGGACUUACAGUUCCACGUGGCUGGGGAAGCCUCACAAUUGUGGUGAAAGGUGAAAGUCACAUCUCACAUGGCAGCAGACAAGAGAAGAAGAGCUUGUGCAGGGAAACUCCCCUUUUAAAAACCAUCAGAUCUCAUGAUACUUAUUCACUAUCAUCAGAAUAGCCUGGGAAAGACCUGUCCCCAUGAUUCAGUUACUUCCCACCGUGUCACUCCCACAACAAGUGGGAAUUCAAGAUGAGAUUUGGGUAGGGACACAGCAAAACCAUAUUAGAGCAGAUCUCUGGAAUUGGGCAGGCCAAGGUUUGAAUCCCAUCUGUUAUUUGGAGUGUGUGUUUCUUUUUGAGACUAAUCUCCUUACCCUUGAAAUGAGGUAAUAUACUUCCCUCAUAGGGUUGCUGGGAAGAUUAAACACGAGGUGAAGUAAAUAAAGCCCCAGGGACAUAAGCAAAAAAUAAUGGCUUCUCACAGCAAUGCUCCAGAACAUACAACAAGGGAAUACUGGGCCCAGUCCCAGGACUAUCCAAGUGUGAAGCCAACACCUUUUCACAUCAACUCCAAGUUCCAUGGGCUGACUGGACUCCACUGGGAGUUCUUGAUGUCUCUCGUGUGGUUGUGUGAGAUAGUGGCUGGGACUGGACUCAUCUGAAGGCUUGACUGGGCUGGAUGCCCAAGAUAGCCCACUUUUAGACAGAGGUGGCUGGCAGUUGAUGCUGACUGUCAGCUGGGGACUCAGCUGAGAGUGUUAACUGGAGUCCCUAGACGUGGCUUCUCCACAUGGCUUGGGCUUCUCAUGGAAGGGCACCUGGAUUCUGAGAGAGAGCAUCCCAAGAGACACAAGUGGAAAUGAUAAGGCUUCUUAUGACGUAGACUGGAGGUACUGAGACAUCACUUUUGCUACAUUAGAAGGUUAGAUGCUGACAUUUUAUGAUUUCACAACUUGGAUCCUCUGUCCUCUGAUACUGAAUCAGAUAGUAGUUUAUGGAGCUGAGCAGAGAGCCAGCUGGUCCUGGGCACAGAGGAGGCUGUGUUCCAUGCUGAAGACAAGAACAUAUGGUGGACGUACCAUCCUAACUAUCUGGGAAGGGAGCUUCGUGGCUACAUGGGAGUUAUCAUCUGCCAGUGCCGGCUGCAUCCUGGCUGUGCCCACCUCUGGACUCUGAAUCUCUGCACCUCAGUACCCCCAACCCCAACACGACUGUGAUGUUAGGCAUAUAUUAGGCAUGUGAAGAUGAGAAAGAGAAGAUACAGCUCCCAUGUUUAUCUCCAUGAGAAGAUAAGCCACAGGGAGAGAGAAAGACUGUUGUGCACGAGAGGGAGUGUCAAAUGCCAAAUGGAUGUCAGCAGUCGGGGUGUGCUAGAGGCACUCAGGGGAAGGGAGGCUGGGCAUAGAGGGUCAUGCUGGAGGAGGUGACUCUGGAUCUGAAUCUUGAAAGUGCAGUUCCUGUUCUCCUGGCUGGACCCUGACUGAUGCCAUGGGGAAAGCCCUCGGGCUCGUGGACCUUAAAUUCCAGGUCCUGUUGUGCCCAACUCAUGAUUUAUCCAGGUCACACCAGUCUGGUCUGUCACAGUAAGAGGGCACCAUCACAUACACUAUAAUAUGAAUCAUGACCCCCGGAGUUGUGUGGAGUUUCUGCAUCUCUCCCUCCCCACUGUGGCUACCCUCAUCCAGCAACCAUCCUGUCUCUCACCGGUAUUACCGCAGCUGAGACCCAGGUCUUAAGGAAGCUGAGACCCAGGCCAGCAGGGGCCUCACAGCUUGGAAAAAGAGGAGGGUGUAAGACUCUGGAUGAAGCUGAGAGAUCCUUCCAUGCUUGGCUGAGAGACUACACAGACAUGAGCUUCAGGAGACUCCAAAGCCUCGGAUCCCCUUCUAAACUAGCACUGAAUUCUGAUUGGCUGUCUUUGCCUGCCUCAGUUUGUUCCUUUUACUGAUUGGCUAGGUUCUUCUGCCCAUGGCAGAGCCCUGCUCCAGCCACCGGAUCCUCCCACCUGCCACAGUGUCACCUGGGAUUGGCUGGGCUCUGAAAGGCCAGGCUGGCUUGACUCUUGCCAUCAUCAGAUUCUUCCUCAUUAAACAAAUGAAUCACAAUCCUAAUUAAUUUGAGCAACAGAAUUUAUGUAACUACUCCCAGCAGGAUGUCUGCUCUCAGUCAGCAGAGAGAUUACUUCCUCUCUCUGGGAAAUUCCAGCCUUGCUGGUCAAUAAGCCUUAAUGAUGACUGAAAUCUCCCAUCUGUCUCUGCUCAGGGCAGGUAACCCCUACUAAGCAGACACCCAGUUGGCUCGAGGCAGUACCCCGGGCACCGGCAGGACAAGGACAACGAUCUCCCAGCCUAGAUGUGUCCUGAGCCACAUGGAGCACACAGAUUACAGGAUCUGACUCCCAUUUGGGCCUUCCACCUCCGCUGGCCUAAGCAGUCAAGUGUCAGAGAGCACUGGACCUAACAGCUCCCUCACCAGAGCAGCUGUGAUUCCUUCUUCAUUUCCAGCAGGGAAGACCCAACAACUUUUAUAAUAUGGGAUUUCUUUUAUUCUCAUGAUAAUAAUGUUCAUUGUGGAAAAUAAAAAAAAAUGAUAAAAUAAAAAUCAGCCAGAAUUCCAA